GGAAUAUUGGUCAAUGGACGAGAGUCUGAACCAGCCAAGUAGCGUGCAGGAUGACGGCCCUAUGGGUUGUAAACUGCUUUUAUCAGGGAAUAAAGUGCGGCACGCGUGCCGUUUUGUAUGUACCUGACGAAUAAGGACCGGCUAAUUCCGUGCCAGCAGCCGCGGUAAUACGGAAGGUCCGGGCGUUAUCCGGAUUUAUUGGGUUUAAAGGGAGCGCAGGCUGAUUGUUAAGCGUGACGUGAAAUGUAGCCGCUCAACGGCUGCACUGCGUCGCGAACUGGCAGUCUUGAGUGAGUACGACGUCAGCGGAAUUCGUGGUGUAGCGGUGAAAUGCUUAGAUAUCACGAAGAACCCCGAUUGCGAAGGCAGCUGACGAGUCCUUUACUGACGCUAAAGCUCGAAGGUGCGGGUAUCGAACA
This 419-nucleotide ribosomal RNA is filed under the name uncultured Prevotella sp. Its description in RNAcentral is "bacterial SSU rRNA". It matches the Rfam family "Bacterial small subunit ribosomal RNA", at positions 358 to 774 of the family's 1533-position model. Lineage: Bacteria; Pseudomonadati; Bacteroidota; Bacteroidia; Bacteroidales; Prevotellaceae. The record is from RNAcentral.